AACGCACGAGACCUGCGGACCUGCGGAAGGAUCAUUAAUUAAUUGAUUAGUAAAUCUAUUUUACUAUAUCUACCUUUACUGUGAAUUGUAUGAAUAUAUGGCGUUUUGAGGGAUGUCUAAUUGCUAUAAGGGUAGGCAAUUGGAAUGAUAACCUAGUCAUAGUCAAGCUUAGGCUUGGUACCCAAUUUAUUAUUUACCAAUGAAUUCAGAUUUAAAUAUUGUAACAUAGAUCUAAACAAU
RNAcentral lists this unclassified non-coding RNA (240 nucleotides) under soil metagenome. RNAcentral's name for it is "partial contains 5.8S ribosomal RNA, internal transcribed spacer 2, and large subunit ribosomal RNA". The record is from RNAcentral.